RNAcentral lists this unclassified non-coding RNA (179 nucleotides) under Moritella viscosa. Its description in RNAcentral is "putative sRNA". The record is from RNAcentral. Lineage: Bacteria; Pseudomonadati; Pseudomonadota; Gammaproteobacteria; Alteromonadales; Moritellaceae.
UCUUAUUUUCCUUAUUAUAUCAUUUAACCAUUGUUGCAUGUUGGUAUCUACCUGAACUUUAUUUGUAUCUUUAUUUUAUCAAUCGUAGCGUGGUCAUUCUGGUUAUAGUGAUAGGGUAUUAGAUUCAAUGACUUUACGUAUAUAAGGCCUAUAUUUAUAGAGGCCUUAUUCUUUAUAUG